UGUGUGAAUUGUUUACGAGGAAAUUCCGAUUGUUACUUUAACAAGCUGAGCACUCUUGACUCUGGUUCGUGGUUCCCAGUGAUAAAUGUAUCGAGUGAUGAAAGAGUCAACGGUGACAUUUUAAAGUUUGAUUGGCGUGGACUAUCGGAAUGAAGAUGACUGCAGGAAUGGUUUGUUUGAUUAUUGGCCUAUCAAACAUUUUCCAGUCAUUUGAUGAUGCCACCACUUGGGAUAGUAAGCUGCAAAUAUAGACUUGUACUCAGCACGUAUUGCCUUUGAGAAGUAAGGGAUCCUUUUGACACUGAAUCUCGGUGUAUGCGGUCUCAUUGGAGUAACCCGUCUGAAGCAUUUAGCUAUGGGAUUGGAACCUGUGAUGUGUGACUGUCAUCAGAGUACUGAAAUUUGAUUCCAAGCACGAUCAUGAUUUGCCAGAAGAGCAUCUGUUGGGGGAUGACAAGGAAUAAACAGCAUAAUGAAAUUGAAACAUUCAUGUGAAUCAGUCUGUCUUAGUUUAUGAUAUUGACUUUAAAUAUUCAUAUUUAAAUUUUGAUUUGAGAAACAGACAUAAAUCCACAAAUAUGAACAAAUCAAUUGCUUUCAGUUUUUCAAGAGAAAUAGAUUUUGUUACAGAGUCUAUCUUUAGUUUGGAAUAAAUAUUCUUUUUAAGUAUGUGUCAGAUCUUGCAUGUAAACAUCUGUUUUGAGGUCUUCCGUUUCCAAGAGAAGACAUACCAGUUCUAAUAGUUAAGGUUAUAAAUGUGUGUAAAUAUUUGUAUUUUUACAGUAUAAUUGAUUGAUUGAUUGUUUACUGUUUAACGUCCCUCUCCAGAAUAUUUCACUUAUAUGGAGACGUCACCAUUGCCGGUGAAGGGCUGCAAAUUUAGGCCUAUGCUUGGCACUAAUGGCCUUUAAGCAGGGAGGGAUCUUUAUUGUGCAACACCUGCUGUGACACGGGGCCUCGGUUUAUACGGUCUCAUCCGAAGAACCGCCCCAUUUAGUCGCCUUUUACGACAAGCAAGAGGGUACUGAGGACCUAUUCUAACCCGGAAAGGUUUUUGCUAUUUGAGUCAAAGAAAUAAAGAAUGGUAGCAAACUUGACAAUUGAAACAUUUCACUUUCUGCUUAUCGCUAAGAAGGAAGACCCACUCGUUGCUUUGCAACGAGCUUUGCUCUAGUUAUUAUUAUUUUUCUUCUUCCUGGGCACUUUUUUGUCCGCGUAUGAUCUCGUAAACUAUACAUCCGACUAAGGUGAAAUGUUUUUAGGGUCAGUAGACAUGUUAUGCAGAUUUGCCGAACGAAGGUCAUUUUGCGCGCACGUGCUUGCAAGAGCGCGCACGUGCAACACAUGAAACGACCAAUAUAAUGAAUAUAGCAGUAACUUUUUCAAUUUUUGAUGAAAUGCUUUGAAACUCAUUAUAUAAGGAUAUAUUAGUAGCAUAGACAAGAUGACAUGGUCAAAAUAGCAAGAUCUCACGCGCAUGCACGUGCUCUUUGCUCUGAUUGGCUGAAACUAAAGUCUCAAUAUCUCUCUUGUUUUUUUACGAAAUCGUUU
Molecule: long non-coding RNA, 1551 nt
Organism: Saccostrea cuccullata (small rock oyster)
Lineage: Eukaryota; Metazoa; Mollusca; Bivalvia; Ostreida; Ostreidae
Exons: 3
Source: RefSeq, a predicted model, not a curated record